RNAcentral lists this small RNA (425 nucleotides) under Histoplasma capsulatum var. duboisii H88. Its description in RNAcentral is "Histoplasma capsulatum H88 hypothetical RNA". The record is from RNAcentral. Lineage: Eukaryota; Fungi; Ascomycota; Eurotiomycetes; Onygenales; Ajellomycetaceae.
GGGAGAAUGAAAAUCUGGGGAUGAGCUUGGCUAGAUGUUAUUUUUGUCACCCAUGCAUGCCCUUCGUCCCAGGAGCUAUUGAGCUUUCCCGCCCGUUCAGUGCUCCCUGGACGACGGCCUACCCGAGCUUGCUAGACAAGCCCUAGUGAUAGGACUUGGCAGGGUGCAAGCCAGCGACAAGCUCCACACCCAGCCCCAAGUGGAGCCCAGCUGGCUUGGAUGGUUUGAUGAGUACUACCGAUGUCGCUGGGGGAACGUUAGCCCCGUUUUGCGGCGGAAAAAGGAGAGAAGUGAUGUUUGAGAAUCUCUCUUACACCAAUUACAGUCUAGAGCAGCCUUGCUUUGACACUAGAAUAUCGGGUGAUACCGCGAUCCUGCAGCCAAACCCCCGCCUCGGAAAAAGAAAAGAAGCAAAAGAAGUAGGG